Molecule: ribosomal RNA, 301 nt
Filed under: uncultured bacterium
Lineage: Bacteria
Description: partial 16S ribosomal RNA
Rfam family: Bacterial small subunit ribosomal RNA
Source: RNAcentral
CAGUCGCCGCGGGAAUACGGAGGGUGCAAGCGUUAAUCGGAAUUACUGGGCGUAAAGCGUGCGUAGGCGGUUCGUUAAGUCUGUUGUGAAAGCCCCGGGCUCAACCUGGGAAUGGCAAUGGAUACUGGCGAGCUAGAGUGUGUCAGAGGAUGGUGGAAUUCCCGGUGUAGCGGUGAAAUGCGUAGAGAUCGGGAGGAACAUCAGUAGCGAAGGCGGCCAUCUGGGACAACACUGACGCUGAGGCACGAAAGCGUGGGGAGCAAACAGGAUUAGAUACCCCGGUAGUCCCUGUCUCUUAUAC